Molecule: ribosomal RNA, 265 nt
Filed under: uncultured prokaryote
Description: partial 16S ribosomal RNA
Rfam family: Bacterial small subunit ribosomal RNA
Source: RNAcentral
UACGUAGGGGGCGAGCGUUGUCUGGAAUGGUUGGGCGUAAAGGGCGCGCAGGCGGCCUGUCAAGUCAGUAGUGGAAGUCCAUUUUUCAAGGAUGGAAGUGCUAUAGAAACUGAUGGGCUUGAGUGCAGGAGAGGUUAUCGGAAUUCCCGGUGUAGCGGUGAAAUGCGUAGAGAUCGGGAGGAACACCAGUGGCGAAGGCGGGUAACUGGACUGCAACUGACGCUGAGGCGCGAAAGUGUGGGGAGCAAACAGGAUUAGAUACCCU